GAUGAACGCUGGCGGCGUGCCUAAUACAUGCAAGUCGAGCGAACAGACGAGGAGCUUGCUCCUCUGACGUUAGCGGCGGACGGGUGAGUAACACGUGGAUAACCUACCUAUAAGACUGGGAUAACUUCGGGAAACCGGAGCUAAUACCGGAUAAUAUAUUUAACCGCAUGGUUCAAUAGUGAAAGACGGUUUUGCUGUCACUUAUAGAUGGAUCCGCGCCGCAUUAGCUAGUUGGUAAGGUAACGGCUUACCAAGGCAACGAUGCGUAGCCGACCUGAGAGGGUGAUCGGCCACACUGGAACUGAGACACGGUCCAGACUCCUACGGGAGGCAGCAGUAGGGAAUCUUCCGCAAUGGGCGAAAGCCUGACGGAGCAACGCCGCGUGAGUGAUGAAGGUCUUCGGAUCGUAAAACUCUGUUAUUAGGGAAGAACAAAUGAGUAAGUAACUAUGCACGUCUUGACGGUACCUAAUCAGAAAGCCACGGCUAACUACGUG
Molecule: ribosomal RNA, 497 nt
Filed under: uncultured bacterium
Lineage: Bacteria
Description: partial 16S ribosomal RNA
Rfam family: Bacterial small subunit ribosomal RNA
Source: RNAcentral